AUAGAUACAUGGCUAAAGCUAAGAUCUGUUUCCUGAGAUCUUCUUCACUAUAUGGCUCCAGGUUAAAACUGCCAAAAGAUGAACUUGCUUGGGAUUAGGAAGGUGGAGGGAAACAGAAGCCAAACUUCUCAGAAGGUCACCACGAUCAGACCUGGUGAUGGGUGCCAGGAAGUCAUACCAUCAUUCAGACACAUUGUGCCAGGCUGGAUUAUGACAUCUUGACAGAUUUGGGUUGAGAGGCUGCUGGCCACAUCGGAAAGAAUGUGGGGACCACUAACAGCA
Phyllostomus hastatus (greater spear-nosed bat) is the source of this 282-nucleotide long non-coding RNA. RefSeq lists it as uncharacterized. The record is from RefSeq and is a predicted model, not a curated record. Lineage: Eukaryota; Metazoa; Chordata; Mammalia; Chiroptera; Phyllostomidae. The transcript is spliced from 3 exons.